UUUGUUUGCUCCUGAGAGGAAGGCAGCCACCCCAAGGUCAGCGCCAGGCAAUGGUACUUCCAGAGGAUGGCGACUGACAAUCUAGUCCUUGGACUCUACCGAGGACCAAGAGCCCCAUAGGUUUCUUCUCUCAUGACUGGCCCAGGCCACAGGACCAUGUUUCAUCCAGUUUCUGCUGCAGAGACAGAUGAUGCUCAGGUCGAUGAUGUCUGUUUCUGGAGCUGGAGCUAACUAAGACUAAGAGACAUUCUCCUGGAAAGCUGGAAAAAGAAAAAGGAACACAAAGUGGAAUUUUUCUGGGACUAGAAAUCUCAAAGAGGAUCACGGAAGUAUCUGUAAAAUUAGUGAAGAAAGACAUGAAGUUCAAGGGAAAGUUACGGGAGCAUCCACGCACACUGCAGAUGCUGCAAUGACCCGUAACUUACUGCCCCUAGACCAUUAAAGAACUCAAGUGUUCAGAAGCCUUAUCCUUUCAUUUACCCAACAAUGUAGCCAGUUGGCUAUAAAAUUAGACUUCUUGGUUGUUCAGAAACUAUUGCUCAGACUCGGUUAGAGCAAAGGGAUCACUUCCAAAUUUAAAGUAUGUCAUUGCCUUGAAAUUCUCCAGAGCAGUGAUGGCGAACCUUUUAGAGACCGAGACGGCAAUCCCAAACCCUCUUGUCGCACAAAGCCAAGACUGCGAUUUUUUUUUUUGUUUGUUUGUUUGUUUUUUUGUUUUUUCGCCGGUACCGGGAACUGAACUCACGACCUUGCGCUGGGGAUUUAGCUCAGCGGCACAGCGCCUGUCCAGCAAACGCAAGACUGCGAUUAAAACCAAGUGUCCCUUUGCUCCACUGCCGAGAGAGAGGGCUCUGCGUACCGCUGCAGUCCGGCUGCCAUAGGUUCAGCACCACCGCUCCAGAGCUUCCAUAUGUUUGUAUGCUUAGAGUAGAGGUUACUUCGUUUUGUAUAUUUUAAAUGUAUAGAAAUGGACCUGUUUAUGUAUUUUUCUGGAAUUUGUGUUUUGCUUCUCAUUAUAUCUACCUUAUUAAUCAACGUUGGUAUGUGUGGUUGUAGCUAAAUUGUAUAGAAUUUGUUUAGACAUUCUACAAUGGGUGGAUAUUUCACACAUUUUUAUCUGAGAAAAGCACUAGUAAUCUUCUACGUAUCUUGUUAUAUGUAUGUCAGGAUUUCUUGGGGACAGUCUCAAAGUUGUUAGAGAAAAACUCAGUUUUAAUAAACAUGACUGUGUUCUCCUAACUUCUAGUUCUAACUAGUUGUGUUAAUAAUUUUAUUUUUCCAUAUCCUAUAUAUUUAUAUAAACAUUACUUUUCAAGAACAUUAGAAUGGACUUUCUGUGAAGAUCACUGUGCUUUGAAAUUAUCAAUGUCACUGAUACUUGUAGUAAUGUAUCCAUAGAGGUCUCUACUUUAUAUAUAUUUGAACUUCCACGUAAUGUUCUUUUUGGUCACGCUAAUCUUUAUGUGAUCAGCUUAGAAGUUUUUAUAUGUGAACAAUUUUAUGUGACAUUUUUCUCUUGCCCCAGGAGAUGAAAGAAGUAGUGUGUUUUACAAAGCAAUUAAAUUGAUUACUUUUUUUCUUGUUUCCGUGCUGGGGAUUGAAACCAGAGGCUCACACAUUGCUAGGGCUUACAUUGAAUGUAUUCACCAGAUACAGUGACAGUAGUCACCACUUGUCUUCUGCCUGAUUUUAGAGGAAAUGCUUUCAGUUUCUACUCUUCAGUAUGAUGAGAGUUGUGGAUUUGCCUUUCUUAUAUUGAGAUACAGGAAGAAAAUUACUACAGACAGUGGCGUUUCUGGAUUUUAUGUCUCCAAGGACUGAGAUCUUUGGGAGAUAUACUCUAGGGAGAUGAGAACAAAGUGAGUGUUCUUUGAGAAGCAACUCCAAAGACUGCAGGGAAUGGAAACCUGUGUGGAGAAUGACAAGAUGUGCUCCUUGCACCAUAAAGAGUCUCAGGAAGAGAACAGGGCUGAAGAAAGCUAUUUCUAAGGAGUUUGAACAUUUUCACAGAGCUCUUGCCAUAGCUCCAGUUUCCCUGCCCCCACACAGCAGAGGAAUCAUGGGGACACAAGGAGAAGUGCUAUCUGAACAAUAAGUGUAUGUCAGUAGAAGAAUGGGCUAAGGCAAGUGAUUUUUCUCUCUACUUUCAUGAGCCACAUAAGGCUGCUAGACUACAACUGGAACCUGAAGAGAAGUCUAUUCCCACCAAUCCUAGCAUGGAGCUGAAGUUCUCUGAAGAAGCUGCCUCUACUUAACCUGCAGACUGCUUGACCUUGACCAGUAGAACAUUAUGACUGUGGAGAGAUGGAAUGUUGCAAGUUGAGAGCCAAAACUGUCUUGGCUAUCUUAGGUUCAUUAAUAGCCAUUUUCUUUCAACCUACAGAGGUUGAAAGAAACCUCUGACCUAACAUUCUUGUGACUAUUGGGUAAAACUCUUGGAAUGGAUGACUAAGCCCAACAGACCUCUACCCUCUACCAACACCAAUGCUAAGAAUGCUAUGAAGUAACAUCUGACACAUGUGCAAUAUAUUUUCCCACUUUACUAUAGUCUGUCUACCCAAGGCCCACACCAAUGUAAUUAGUAAAUGGGCUGAUUUUUAAUUUUCCACAGUUCUGUAACUGUGGAAGUGAGUGAGACCUCAUGCAUGGUAGAAUCUAUUAUUUGGGGCAACCUGAAUCUAUGUUCCUGGCCUGGUCACUUCUAUUUUGCUCAGAAUAAACUGUCUCUUGUAUUCUUUGGA
This is a long non-coding RNA of Chinchilla lanigera (long-tailed chinchilla), 2741 nucleotides long. RefSeq lists it as uncharacterized. Lineage: Eukaryota; Metazoa; Chordata; Mammalia; Rodentia; Chinchillidae. The record is from RefSeq and is a predicted model, not a curated record. The transcript has 6 exons.